AUUUAAGGAGGAUUGCCAAAGUACACGACAUCCUGUCGCAAAGGCAAUCCGCAUCGCAUCCAGCGAC
This 67-nucleotide small RNA is filed under the name Kurthia sp. 11kri321. RNAcentral describes it as "Bacillaceae-1 RNA". It matches the Rfam family "Bacillaceae-1 RNA". The record is from Rfam by way of RNAcentral. Lineage: Bacteria; Bacillati; Bacillota; Bacilli; Caryophanales; Caryophanaceae.